GUGGGGAAUAUUGCACAAUGGGGGAAACCCUGAUGCAGCGACGCCGCGUGAGCGAUGAAGUAUUUCGGUAUGUAAAGCUCUAUCAGCAGGGAAGAAAAUGACGGUACCUGACUAAGAAGCACCGGCUAAAUACGUGCCAGCAGCCGCGGUAAUACGUAGGGGGCAAGCGUUAUCCGGAUUUACUGGGUGUAAAGGGAGCGUAGACGGUGUGGCAAGUCUGAUGUGAAAGGCAUGGGCUCAACCUGUGGACUGCAUUGGAAACUGUCAUACUUGAGUGCCGGAGGGGUAAGCGGAAUUCCUAGUGUAGCGGUGAAAUGCGUAGAUAUUAGGAGGAACACCAGUGGCGAAGGCGGCUUACUGGACGGUAACUGACGUUGAGGCUCGAAAGCGUGGGGAGCAAACAGGAUUAGAAACCCUGGUAGUCC
This 425-nucleotide ribosomal RNA is filed under the name uncultured bacterium. RNAcentral's name for it is "partial 16S ribosomal RNA". It matches the Rfam family "Bacterial small subunit ribosomal RNA", at positions 354 to 796 of the family's 1533-position model. The record is from RNAcentral.